This 409-nucleotide ribosomal RNA is filed under the name Salmonella enterica. RNAcentral describes it as "bacterial SSU rRNA". It matches the Rfam family "Bacterial small subunit ribosomal RNA", at positions 1113 to 1522 of the family's 1533-position model. RNAcentral also lists the same sequence under 3 other names. Lineage: Bacteria; Pseudomonadati; Pseudomonadota; Gammaproteobacteria; Enterobacterales; Enterobacteriaceae. The record is from RNAcentral.
UGUUGCCAGCGAUUAGGUCGGGAACUCAAAGGAGACUGCCAGUGAUAAACUGGAGGAAGGUGGGGAUGACGUCAAGUCAUCAUGGCCCUUACGACCAGGGCUACACACGUGCUACAAUGGCGCAUACAAAGAGAAGCGACCUCGCGAGAGCAAGCGGACCUCAUAAAGUGCGUCGUAGUCCGGAUUGGAGUCUGCAACUCGACUCCAUGAAGUCGGAAUCGCUAGUAAUCGUGGAUCAGAAUGCCACGGUGAAUACGUUCCCGGGCCUUGUACACACCGCCCGUCACACCAUGGGAGUGGGUUGCAAAAGAAGUAGGUAGCUUAACCUUCGGGAGGGCGCUUACCACUUUGUGAUUCAUGACUGGGGUGAAGUCGUAACAAGGUAACCGUAGGGGAACCUGCGGUUGGA